This 85-nucleotide transfer RNA is filed under the name Felis catus (domestic cat). It matches the Rfam family "tRNA". Rfam says of the family: Transfer RNA (tRNA) molecules are approximately 80 nucleotides in length. Their secondary structure includes four short double-helical elements and three loops (D, anti-codon, and T loops). Further hydrogen bonds mediate the characteristic L-shaped molecular structure. tRNAs have two regions of fundamental functional importance: the anti-codon, which is responsible for specific mRNA codon recognition, and the 3' end, to which the tRNAs corresponding amino acid is attached (by aminoacyl-tRNA synthetases). tRNAs cope with the degeneracy of the genetic code in two manners: having more than one tRNA (with a specific anti-codon) for a particular amino acid; and 'wobble' base-pairing, i.e. permitting non-standard base-pairing at the 3rd anti-codon position. Lineage: Eukaryota; Metazoa; Chordata; Mammalia; Carnivora; Felidae. The record is from Rfam by way of RNAcentral.
GCCUGGGUGGCUCAGUUGGUUAAGCGUCUGACUUCAGCUCAGGUCAUGAUCUCACAGUUCGUGAGUUCGAGCCCCACGUCGGGCU